GCAGGGGCUGCGCGGAGCUCGCCCGUCGACGCGCUAGAAGUAAGUGUCACCCCCGGAGGCGUGCAGGAAAGCGAGCUUGCCGGGCGAGGAAAGACGCAGGCGUUACGGGGUGUCGUACAGAAUGCGGGAGGACCGGGCGCCCCAGCGGCUGUAAGGCGAAGGUGCCCGGUUCGAGGAGGGAGCGCGCGCGCGCGGGCGCGCGCGGCUCGGGGCAGUGAAUUAAAACCGAAACUGAUCUGGAGCGGGAUGGGUUCCAGGGGAAAAGGGUUGACCCGCCUCAUCCUUGAGGAGUAUUUUCCGUCCGCGGCAGUGUCCUCCCCACCCUCACCUUUAUUUCCCAUUUUUCUCUUCUAGUUCCUCUUUGUCCUUGAAGUCCUUUGGUGAAAGAAAACUCAUUCGAACGUUCUGCAUGUGAAUAAAGGCAUAGGGGGUGCUAAAUGGAGUUGCUACGAAUUGAAUUUUAUAAACCGCUACCCGCGCAGUGCCAACGUUGGCGUAUUGGGAGGGGAAAAGUCAGGUGUACCCCCCCCCCCAAAUUAAGCGUGGGGUGGUUAGUGGCUGAUAUUCAGGUGGGGUUUUUCCCCUGCGCUGAAUUUCUUAUAAGGCAGCAUUAACUUAACGAAUAGAUUGUAAUAAACAUAAAGGAAGUAUAUACUUAUUUGCGUAAAAGAGAAAGGUAAAACGGGAAACCAGAAAAAAACAAGACCCCACCAAAAACCAGUAUCCAAAAGUAGCUGACUUGGUUUCCAACAAUUAUCCUUAUUGCUGGGCCUAAUAACGAGAAGGAAUGAAGUGGGGAAGAGGCCCUGAAAUCACAAUUGAUUGAAGAAAAAAUGCUUACAUACCCUCAUUUGUCAAGUCCCCCUGCCAGAUGUUAAGAUUAUUGCUUUUUGUGAGGACCAGUAAAAGCUUAAUACUUUUAUUAAGUAUUGAGCUAUUGGUAACUAAAACAAAACUGCUAGUGACUGAAAUGGGGAAAAAAAUUAAAAACCUAGAGUCUUACGUGCAAUUUCUAACACGUUUGUAACAAAUGCACUGAAGAUACAGGUUAGCAGAGUACACACAAAUAUAUAAAUCCUUUGCAGAAUGUUUUUGAAAACCGGCAGCAAAAAUUAUUACUAAUUUCUUGAUGGUAAUCAUGUGCUGAAACUUUGACAUAUACCGUUUGAUCAAAAGCCGCGAACUGGAGGAAACUACAAGGCAAUGUACAGUUUUCAUUAUUCAUAGAUUCCAUAUUUGCAAAUUUGCCUACUCACUAAAAAUUUGUAACCACCAAAUCAGUGUGCAUAGCAUUCAUGGGCAUGCACACAGUGGCAAACAAUGUAACAUUCCCAGCUGUGUUGAACAAGAUAGCACUCCCUUAUUAAUUCAGCUCUCAUAUUGUAAA
RNAcentral lists this long non-coding RNA (1387 nucleotides) under Lynx pardinus (Iberian lynx). The record is from RNAcentral. Lineage: Eukaryota; Metazoa; Chordata; Mammalia; Carnivora; Felidae.